GACGAACGCUGGCGGCGUGCUUAACACAUGCAAGUCGAACGGAAAGGCCCUGCUUUUGUGGGGUGCUCGAGUGGCGAACGGGUGAGUAACACGUGAGUGACCUGCCCUUGACUUUGGGAUAACUUCAGGAAACUGGGGCUAAUACCGGAUAGGAGCUCCUGCUGCAUGGUGGGGGUUGGAAAGUUUCGGCGGUUGGGGAUGGACUCGCGGCUUAUCAGCUUGUUGGUGGGGUAGUGGCUUACCAAGGCUUUGACGGGUAGCCGGCCUGAGAGGGUGACCGGCCACAGUGGGACUGAGAUACGGCCCAGACUCCUACGGGAGGCAGCAGUGGAGAAUAUUGCACAAUGGGCGGAAGCCUGAUGCAGCAACGCCGCGUGCGGGAUGACGGCCUUCGGGUUGUAAACCGCUUUCGCCUGUGACGAAGCGUGAGUGACGGUAAUGGGUAAAGAAGCACCGGCUAACUACGU
This 467-nucleotide ribosomal RNA is filed under the name uncultured bacterium. RNAcentral's name for it is "partial 16S ribosomal RNA". It matches the Rfam family "Bacterial small subunit ribosomal RNA", at positions 28 to 506 of the family's 1533-position model. The record is from RNAcentral.